AUUGAACGCUGGCGGCAGGCCUAACACAUGCAAGUCGAACGAGUGGCGGACGGGUGAGUAAUGUCUGGGAAACUGCCUGAUGGAGGGGGAUAACUACUGGAAACGGUAGCUAAUACCGCAUACCAUCGGAUGUGCCCAGAUGGGAUUAGCUAGUAGGUGGGGUAAAGGCUCACCUAGGCGCCGAUCCCUAGCUGGUCUGAGAGAAUGACCAGCCACACUGGAUCUGAUACACGGUCCAGACUCCUACGGAAGGCGGCAGGGGGGAAUAUUGCACAAUGGGCGCAAGCCUGUUGCAGCCAUGCCGCGUGUAUGAAGAAGGCCUUCGGGUUUUAAAGUACUUUCAGCGGGGAGGCGUUACCCGCAGAAGAAGCACCGGCUAACUCCGUGCCAGCAGCCGCGGUAAUAC
RNAcentral lists this ribosomal RNA (406 nucleotides) under uncultured bacterium. RNAcentral describes it as "partial 16S ribosomal RNA". It matches the Rfam family "Bacterial small subunit ribosomal RNA", at positions 30 to 526 of the family's 1533-position model. The record is from RNAcentral.